Molecule: long non-coding RNA, 1632 nt
Organism: Gadus morhua (Atlantic cod)
Lineage: Eukaryota; Metazoa; Chordata; Actinopteri; Gadiformes; Gadidae
Source: Ensembl
AUGGUACUCCUUGAGGAAGUCCUGCAGCGCCGGGGGCAGUGGCAGCCCGCCGAUGCCGUCGUACGUGCUCCGGCGGCAGAUGGCGGCGCGGGCCAGGUGCUGCAGGCUGAAGGGGAAGGUCCGGUGGAGCGGCGCCGUCAGCAGCGGCUCAAAGAACAUGCAGGCGCUGGGGUCCUUGUAGUGCUCCAGCAGGCCCGUCACGGUGGACGAGUGGAACACGCACGGGUCGUGGGCGUCAAAGCUGAAGUUGUGGUUCCACUGCUCGAUGCGGGCGUGCAGCGAGCGGUUGUAGCGGCGGAAGCUGACGGAGAAGAGGUAGUCUUCUUGGGCGGAGUCCCGCAGCAGGAAGGUGCCCUCGGGCCGGCCGUCCAGCAGCGCCUCGGCCUGGUAGCGGUCCAUCACGCCCCAGUAGCAGGGCAACGACGUGAUCUGCAGCAGGUCCGGCACCAGACAGUGGAUAUAGUCGAUCUGGGUGUGGACCUUCCAGGGCCCCGGCUGCAGCUGCUGCUGCUGCUGCUGCCGGCCGUCCCCGGAGGCGUGUCUCUGCUUGGGCCUGCGGGCCUGCAGACACAGGGUGGUCGAGUCCUCCUCAGAGUCACAGUCCUGGGCCGAGGCCAUGGCUGUGGCCGGCACCGGCCCGCAGGCCCCCGAGGGCCCCGCCACCCCCUCCCCCGAGCCCUCUCCGACGCCAGGCGCCAUCUUUGGUCCCAGUUUGUAGAGGGAGGAGCCCGACGGCGAGGCCUCCAGCGUGUGGAUCUGGGCGUUGGGCGGCGGGUCCACGCCCUCCUCGAUGCUCUGCCGGCGGCGCUCGCGCAGACGCUCCUCCUCGUCCUCGGGGGAGGGGUGGGCCGGGUCGAAGGCGUCCAGCAGGGCGCUGGAGGAAUGCGGGCUGACGGGCGCCGUGUGCUGCUUGAUGAGGUGCCACUUGUGGGCCAGGUCCGAGCCGGGCGGGAAGGGGCAGGUCUCCAGCAUGAGCUCCGUCAGGUGGAUCUUGCGCUUGGACACGACGGGGGCUUUGGACGGGUGGCGGCGGCGGGCCGGGAGCGGCAGGCAGAGGCCCACCGUGUCGCUGAGCCGCUGCCGCAGCGAGCGGGCGCUGAGGCUCCGCCCCCCCGGCGCACAGUCCCCGACCUCCUGGAUGGAGCUGACGCCGUAGCGCCGGUCGCGCCGCACCCCGCCGCCCCGCGACCUGGCCGACCGCCGGUCCGCCUCCAGGGAGCUCUGGGUCUUGGUGGAGCACGAGUGUUUUUUCUUGCCCCCCCACGGAGCGUGUCGGGAGUAGGAGUCUCGACGGGCCAUGGGGACCCCCGUCGCGCCGCCGCCGCCGCCGCGCACGUCCUCCGUGUCCUUGUCGACGCUGAUCUCCACGAACUGGGGCACGUCGGACACACAGUUGUGGUGGUGUCUCCGCCCGGCGGUGACCAGGGGGAGCGGGAGGAUGCUCCUGGACGGGCUGGGGGCCGCGGAAGCCUGGGGCUCCCCCGGACCGCCUCCGGGGCAGAGGUCCACCACGCAGUGGACGGCGUCCGCCUCGACGCCGUCGCAGGCCGCACCGGAGCCGUCGCUGUGGAACAGGGUGUGGCAUUUGCUUCGCAGGUUGCUCCACAUCUUGCCCACCGCGUCCAUCAAUAG